Long non-coding RNA from Quercus lobata, 2058 nucleotides. RefSeq lists it as uncharacterized. The record is from RefSeq and is a predicted model, not a curated record. The transcript is spliced from 6 exons. NCBI's taxonomy places the organism in Eukaryota, Viridiplantae, Streptophyta, Magnoliopsida, Fagales, Fagaceae.
CUCUCUCUCUCUCUUUUCUCUCAUCUCUUCCUCUCACCCCACUCUCUGUUUUGUUCUCUGUGAUUUCUCUAUCUCGGUCCAUCUCACUCAGAUCGGCGUGGAGGGUGUGGGGUUUGUGGAGAUCGACGUGGUGGUGGGUUUGGGCUUAUGGGGAUCGGCGUUGUGGUGGGUCUGGAUCGGCGUGGAUCGGCACGGAGAAGGGUGUGGGUUUGUGGAGAUCGGCAUGGAGGAGGGUGUGGAGCAGUGGACAACGGCGUUUAUGGUGGACAUCGGCGUCUGUGGUGGAAAGUGGCGUAGUUUCUUAAUUGAUUUAUCCUUGCAGUGAUCUAUUGUAUUCUAGAAAAUAUUGAUAGCUAAGUGCUGCAUGGGAGAAGCAGCAAAAGGAAAUUGAACAAACAAAAGACUUAAUAAACAGGUUAGGUGCUGGAGCAAAUCCCGGACGUGCCUCUUCUGCUGAAAAGAAGCUGGAGAGACUUCAAGAAGAGGAUUUAGUAGAGAAGCCAUUUCAAAGGAAACAGAUGAAAAUUAGGUUCCCUGAGCGUGGAAGAGGUGGAAGAUCUGUUGUAACAAUUAAUAACUUCAAAUUGGCUUUGGUGAUAAGUUGUGUGGCUGGUGCUCUUCAACAAGGCAAAUCUUACAAUUGAAAGGGGAGAAAAAAUUGCCAUAAAUGGCUCAAAUGGAUGUGGAAAGAGCACUUUGCUGAAAAUGAUAAUGGGUUUAGAGAAGCCAAGAGGGGGGGAAGUUUUGCUUGGGGAGCAUAAUGUCCUACCAAACUAUUUUGAGCAGAAUCAGGCUGAGGCAUUUGAUUUGAAUAAAACAGUGCUUGAGACAGUAGGAGAAGCUGCAGAGGACUGGAGGAGUGAUGACAUAAAGGGACUCCUUGGGUGUUGUAAUUUUUAAGCUGAUAUGCUUGAAAGAAUGGUUUCUCUGUUGAGUGGUGGUGAGAAGGGGUGGCAAAAUCCGACACGACCCGCGAACCCGACACGGCUAACCUGUUUAUAAACAGGUCAUGGGUUGCGGCUAAACGGGUUCGGGUCAAAUUCAGGUUGACACAGCUGACCUGUUUAUUAAACGGAUCGUGUUCGUGUUCAACCUAUUGAACUCGUUUGACCGGAUUAGCUUAUAAAGGUAAUUUUACAAUUUUACCCUUAAAACCUAGGUAUAUAAGCUUAGCUAUGGUUUAUUCUCCUGCUCAAAACCAGACCUCAUGCCUCUCUGGACCUUGUGUCUCUUCAUUUUCAUCAACCGUCAAUACUCUGUCUCCUCCAACUCUUCUUCUUCUCUUCAAAACUCUAGCUGAUCCUACAGAUACAGAUUCUACAAUCUACACUAUAAAAUCAAAACCCUAGCCACCUCGUGUCUCUUAACCCUCUACUCUCUCUUCCCUUCAAAUCCCUAGCCAACCCCUCUAAUAUCUCUUCCCCUCAAAACCGGGGCUGCCCUCUCUACUCUCUAUUCUCCUUCACGACUUCACAGCUUCACCAGUUAUUUUUCUUCAGCUUUCAACCACCGAAUCCCCUAGCAAGGUAUACAUGUUAUAUAUUUUUGUUUUGUUUUCUUAUGAAAUUUUCAGUAAUUGUAGAUUUUGUUUAUUGUGUUAACAGUUAAUCAUUAUCAGUUUGUAUUCUUUAUGCACAAAGGCUGGGAAAGAGUCUUCAGAAAUAAAAACUUGAAGUUUGGUGCAGUGGACUCUCUGUCCUUGAAAAUGCAGCAAUUCCUUUCACCACAAAUGCACAAAGGCUGGGAAAGCUAAGAACUUGCACAAUCACAAUUGGAAGAGCUCACUGAAGAUAUAAUGAACAUGAAUAUCAAUAAGGAUGAGCACAUGGAAGAAACCUCUUCAAUGGGACCCUCAAUCUCUUCUAAUCCAGUUUCUUAAUCAGUGAUGUCCUUUCCUUUUUGAUGUGGCACUUGGAUGGUUGGACUUAGAUUUUGCCAUCAUGGAAAUAUUGAUCUGCCAUGUAAUUAUUUUGGUUUGUCUUUUAGUUUUUGAUAUGGCACUUGGAUGCCAUGUAAUAAUCUUGGUUUUUUAUUAUGGAACUUUGACAUAUUAUUGAA